Molecule: ribosomal RNA, 1051 nt
Filed under: Bacillus atrophaeus
Lineage: Bacteria; Bacillati; Bacillota; Bacilli; Caryophanales; Bacillaceae
Description: bacterial SSU rRNA
Rfam family: Bacterial small subunit ribosomal RNA
Source: RNAcentral
GCAGUCGAGCGGACAGAUGGGAGCUUGCUCCCUGAUGUUAGCGGCGGACGGGUGAGUAACACGUGGGUAACCUGCCUGUAAGACUGGGAUAACUCCGGGAAACCGGGGCUAAUACCGGAUGCUUGUUUGAACCGCAUGGUUCAAACAUAAAAGGUGGCUUCGGCUACCACUUACAGAUGGACCCGCGGCGCAUUAGCUAGUUGGUGAGGUAAUGGCUCACCAAGGCAACGAUGCGUAGCCGACCUGAGAGGGUGAUCGGCCACACUGGGACUGAGACACGGCCCAGACUCCUACGGGAGGCAGCAGUAGGGAAUCUUCCGCAAUGGACGAAAGUCUGACGGAGCAACGCCGCGUGAGUGAUGAAGGUUUUCGGAUCGUAAAGCUCUGUUGUUAGGGAAGAACAAGUGCCGUUCAAAUAGGGCGGCACCUUGACGGUACCUAACCAGAAAGCCACGGCUAACUACGUGCCAGCAGCCGCGGUAAUACGUAGGUGGCAAGCGUUGUCCGGAAUUAUUGGGCGUAAAGGGCUCGCAGGCGGUUUCUUAAGUCUGAUGUGAAAGCCCCCGGCUCAACCGGGGAGGGUCAUUGGAAACUGGGGAACUUGAGUGCAGAAGAGGAGAGUGGAAUUCCACGUGUAGCGGUGAAAUGCGUAGAGAUGUGGAGGAACACCAGUGGCGAAGGCGACUCUCUGGUCUGUAACUGACGCUGAGGAGCGAAAGCGUGGGGAGCGAACAGGAUUAGAUACCCUGGUAGUCCACGCCGUAAACGAUGAGUGCUAAGUGUUAGGGGGUUUCCGCCCCUUAGUGCUGCAGCUAACGCAUUAAGCACUCCGCCUGGGGAGUACGGUCGCAAGACUGAAACUCAAAGGAAUUGACGGGGGCCCGCACAAGCGGUGGAGCAUGUGGUUUAAUUCGAAGCAACGCGAAGAACCUUACCAGGUCUUGACAUCCUCUGACACCCCUAGAGAUAGGGCUUCCCCUUCGGGGGCAGAGUGACAGGUGGGUGCAUGGUUGUCGUCAGCUCGUGUCGUGAGAUGUUGGGGUUAAGUCCC